Molecule: microRNA precursor, 103 nt
Filed under: Chlorocebus sabaeus (green monkey)
Lineage: Eukaryota; Metazoa; Chordata; Mammalia; Primates; Cercopithecidae
Description: miRNA (ENSCSAG00000021055.1)
Source: RNAcentral
GGUAUUAGGUUGGUGCAAAAGUAAACAUGGUUUUUGCCAUUACUUUGAAUUACUUUGAAUGGCAAAAACCGCAGUUACUUUUGCGUCAACCUAAUACCUUUCU